RNAcentral lists this ribosomal RNA (424 nucleotides) under uncultured prokaryote. Its description in RNAcentral is "bacterial SSU rRNA". It matches the Rfam family "Bacterial small subunit ribosomal RNA", at positions 355 to 796 of the family's 1533-position model. The record is from RNAcentral.
UGGGGAAUAUUGGACAAUGGGGGCAACCCUGAUCCAGCCAUGCCGCGUGAGUGACGAAGGCCUUAGGGUUGUAAAGCUCUUUCACCCGUGAAGAUGAUGACGGUAGCGGGAGAAGAAGCGCCGGCUAACUCCGUGCCAGCAGCCGCGGUAAGACGGAGGGCGCUAGCGUUGUUCGGAAUCACUGGGCGUAAAGGGCGCGUAGGCGGCUGCUUAAGUCGGGGGUGAAAGCCCGGGGCUCAACCUCGGAACUGCCUUCGAGACUGGGCGGCUAGAGACCGGAAGAGGAGGGUGGAAUACCCAGUGUAGAGGUGAAAUUCGUAGAUAUUGGGUGGAACACCAGUGGCGAAAGCGGCUCUCUGGUCCGGUUCUGACGCUGAGGCGCGAAAGCGUGGGGAGCAAACAGGAUUAGAUACCCCCGUAGUCC